Non-coding RNA from Phrynosoma platyrhinos (Desert horned lizard), 74 nucleotides. The record is from the annotation of a GenBank genome assembly. Lineage: Eukaryota; Metazoa; Chordata; Lepidosauria; Squamata; Phrynosomatidae.
GCCAGAGUGGUUUAAUGGUUUGGGUGUUGGACUAGGAUUCUGGAAGAUCAGGGUUCAAAUUCCCUGCUUAGCCA